Molecule: ribosomal RNA, 518 nt
Filed under: uncultured bacterium
Lineage: Bacteria
Description: bacterial SSU rRNA
Rfam family: Bacterial small subunit ribosomal RNA
Source: RNAcentral
UAGUCCACGCCGUAAACGAUGAGAACUAGGUGUAGCGGGUAUUGACCCCUGCUGUGCCGAAGUUAACGCAUUAAGUUCUCCGCCUGGGGAGUACGGCCGCAAGGCUAAAACUCAAAGGAAUUGACGGGGACCCGCACAAGCGGUGGAGCAUGUGGUUUAAUUCGACGCAACGCGAAGAACCUUACCUGGAUUUGACAUCCUCUGACCACCCUGGAAACAGGGCUUUUCCGACUUGUCGGAACAGAGUGACAGGUGCUGCAUGGCUGUCGUCAGCUCGUGUCGUGAGAUGUUGGGUUAAGUCCCGCAACGAGCGCAACCCUUAUCUUUAGUUGCCAGCACUUCGGGUGGGAACUCUAGAGAGACUGCCCCGGUUAAACGGGGAGGAAGGUGGGGAUGACGUCAAGUCCUCAUGGCCCUUAUGUCCAGGGCUACACACGUGCUACAAUGGUAAGUACAAAGGGCAGCAAGCCGGCAACGGUUAGCAAAUCCCAAAAGCUUAUCUCAGUCCGGAUCGGAGU